Molecule: non-coding RNA, 216 nt
Organism: Nothobranchius furzeri (turquoise killifish)
Lineage: Eukaryota; Metazoa; Chordata; Actinopteri; Cyprinodontiformes; Nothobranchiidae
Source: RefSeq, a predicted model, not a curated record
CAGGACCUGAAGGCCAACGAGUCCCGCCUGAGGGACAUCAACAAGGUGGCAUGUGAACUGGAGUCAGAAGGUCUGAUGGCUGAGGAGGCUCCUAUGGUUCAGGCUCAGCAACAAGAACAUCUGGGUUCUGCUCCUGGAAAGGAUGAAGCCGACUCUAACCCCGGCUUUCCACAGGAGUCGUCAGCAGCACGUUACUGCAGCAGCACGUCAUAGCUG